RNAcentral lists this long non-coding RNA (1538 nucleotides) under Zonotrichia albicollis (white-throated sparrow). RNAcentral's name for it is "lncRNA (ENSZALG00000001233.1)". The record is from RNAcentral. Lineage: Eukaryota; Metazoa; Chordata; Aves; Passeriformes; Passerellidae.
AUUUUUUUUAUUCUUUGGAAAGGAUCCCAGCAUCUCACAGCACCGGCAAGAGGGGUUGGAAUUUUUAAUCUUCUUCCACAGAAAGGAAGUUCAUAAAUUCUCAGAAAGAUCCGAUACAGAGCGGAGCUGAAGAGCAGGAAAAAGAAAAUAAAAAAAAAACCAUCCCAGAUUCUGGAAUUCUUGGAAGAGCGGCCUGGAACGAUGAAGGAUUUAUUGAGGAGGAAAAAAUGGCUUUGGAAAACCUGGAACAGAAAUCACUGAUCGCUCAUUUUUUGGGGUUUUUUUCAGCAUUUAAAAAUUGGAUUAUUCCGGAUUAUCCUGAGCGGGGAAUGGUGGAGGCAGAGAAUUCCAGGGAAUUGCAGCGUUGGGAAUUCGGGAUUGGAAUUUUUUUUUCCUGCCAGAGUGGCACAAAAAGGAGAAAUCCCCAAGAAUUCCCAAGAAUUCCCAGGAAUUCCCAGGAAUUUGGGGUUUGCUGGGCCCUGCUCUGGCAGGGGGAGAGAAUUCCUGGAUCCAGGGGGAGAAAAUCCAACCUGAUCCAAACCCAGCCCUUGGAAUGGGGCAAUUCCCAUGGGAACGGCUCCGGCUCCCCAUCCUGCACCUGGGUUUGCCCCAAAAUCCCCAAUUCUGGCCCCAAAAACCAUCCUGGAUUCCUGCCCGGGAACAGCCAGGGCUGUGGGACAGCUCCAUCCCAAAAAUGUCCCAAAAAACCAGGCAGGAAUUCCGGGAAUUCUGGGAAUUCCCUGUCCCUGAUCCCACUGCAUUUCUCUCUCCAGAAAUUCCUGAAUUUCCUGAUCCCACUGCAUUCCCCUUCCAGAAAUUCCUGAAUUCCCUGAUCCCACUGCAUUCCUCUCAAUAGAAAUUCCCAAAUUUCCGGAAUUCCCUGAUCCCCCUGUAUUCCUCUCUAUAGGAAUUCCCAAAUUCCCUGAUCCCACUGCAUUCCCUGCUCUCAGGAAUUCCCAAAUUCCCUGAUUCCACUGCAUUCCCCUCUCAGGAAUUCCAGAAAUUCCUGAAUUCCCUAAUCCCCCUGCAUUCCCCUUCCAAAAAUUCCCGAAUUUCCUGAAUUCCCUGAUCCCACUGCAUUCCCCUCUCAGGAAUUCCAGAAAUUCCCUAAAUUCGGAGCCUUCACCUCCCCCUGCUGGCAGAUCCCGCUCUGUCCCGGACCUCCCAUUCCCAAAUUUCCCCAAUUUGCAGGACAAAUUCUCUCUUUUUUCCUGAACCUCCCAUUCCCAAAUUUCCCCAAUUUNGGGGGCGGCUGCGGCUCCCGCCGGGACCCAGCGGGGCAAAACCGUCCCGGGACUAUCCCGGGUUAAAUCCCAAAUUCUGGGUUAAAUCCCAAAUUCUGGGUUAAAUCCCAAACCCGCGGGUUAAAUCCCAAAUUCUGGGGUUAAAUCCCAAAUUCUGGGUUAAAUCCCAUAUCCUCAGGUUAAAUCCCAAACCCUCGGGUUAAAUCCCAAAUUCUGGGUUAAAUCCCAAAUCCUCAGGUUAAAUCCCAAACCCUCGGUUAAAUCCCAAAUUCUGGGGUUAAAUCCCCAAAUUCU